UACAGAGGUCGCAAGCGUUGUUCGGCUUCAUUGGGCGUAAAGGGUGCGUAGGCGGCGCGGUAAGUCGGGUGUGAAAUCUCGGAGCUUAACUCCGAAACUGCAUUCGAUACUGCCGUGCUUGAGGACUGGAGAGGAGACUGGAAUUUACGGUGUAGCGGUGAAAUGCGUAGAUAUCGUAAGGAAGACCAGUGGCGAAGGCGGGUCUCUGGACAGUUCCUGACGCUGAGGCACGAAGGUCAGGGGAGCAAACGGG
This 253-nucleotide ribosomal RNA is filed under the name uncultured bacterium. RNAcentral describes it as "partial 16S ribosomal RNA". It matches the Rfam family "Bacterial small subunit ribosomal RNA", at positions 524 to 776 of the family's 1533-position model. The record is from RNAcentral.